This 77-nucleotide transfer RNA is filed under the name Marinobacterium sp. xm-g-48. RNAcentral describes it as "tRNA-Pro". It matches the Rfam family "tRNA". Rfam says of the family: Transfer RNA (tRNA) molecules are approximately 80 nucleotides in length. Their secondary structure includes four short double-helical elements and three loops (D, anti-codon, and T loops). RNAcentral also lists the same sequence under 1 other name. The record is from RNAcentral. Lineage: Bacteria; Pseudomonadati; Pseudomonadota; Gammaproteobacteria; Oceanospirillales; Oceanospirillaceae.
CGGGAUGUAGCGCAGCCUGGUAGCGCGUUCGCCUGGGGGGCGAUAGGUCGCUGGUUCGAAUCCAGUCAUCCCGACCA